Molecule: non-coding RNA, 145 nt
Organism: Gossypium arboreum
Lineage: Eukaryota; Viridiplantae; Streptophyta; Magnoliopsida; Malvales; Malvaceae
Source: Rfam
UAUUAAAAAUUUCAUCAAUUUGUACCAUUAAAAACUGGCGUGGUUAAUGGAAUAAUUAGAUAAUAACACGUGUCAUGUCACGUUUACCUCAUGUUGAUAUACAGGGACCCAUUUUUAAUAGUAGAAAUUGAUGAAAUUUUUAAUA